This 26-nucleotide non-coding RNA is filed under the name Rattus norvegicus (Norway rat). Lineage: Eukaryota; Metazoa; Chordata; Mammalia; Rodentia; Muridae. The record is from RNAcentral.
GCUAUUCCUGUGCCUGUCCUUGGAGC